Molecule: non-coding RNA, 148 nt
Filed under: Gorilla gorilla gorilla (western lowland gorilla)
Lineage: Eukaryota; Metazoa; Chordata; Mammalia; Primates; Hominidae
Source: Rfam by way of RNAcentral
GCCGGGCAUGGUGGCGUGCACCUGUAAUCCCAGCUACUUGGGAGGCUGAGGUGGGAGAAUUGCUUGAGUCCAGGAGACAGAGGUUGCAGUGGGCCGAGAUUGUGCCACUGCACUCAAGCCUGGACAACGGAGCAAGACUCCAUCUCAA